This 520-nucleotide unclassified non-coding RNA is filed under the name uncultured Entrophospora. Its description in RNAcentral is "SSU rRNA". It matches the Rfam family "Eukaryotic small subunit ribosomal RNA", at positions 569 to 1086 of the family's 1831-position model. The record is from RNAcentral. Lineage: Eukaryota; Fungi; Glomeromycota; Glomeromycetes; Entrophosporales; Entrophosporaceae.
AGCAGCCGCGGUAAUUCCAGCUCCAAUAGCGUAUAUUAAAGUUGUUGCAGUUAAAAGCUCGUAGUUGAAUUUCGGGAUUGGCGCAUCGGUCGUGCCUCACGGGGUAUGAACUGGUGCAGUCAAUUUCUCACCUUCUGGAGAACCGCGAUGUCCUUAAUUGGAUGCCGCGGGGAACCAGGACCUUUACUUUGAAAAAUUGAGUGUUUAAAGCAGGCAUUUUUGCUUGAAUACAUUAGCAUGGAAUAAUAAAAUAGGACGGCAUGGUUCUAUUUUGUUGGUUUCUAGGACCACCGUAAUGAUUAAUAGGGAUAGUUGGGGGCAUUAGUAUUCAAUUGUCAGAGGUGAAAUUCUUGGAUUUAUUGAAGACUAACUACUGCGAAAGCAUUUGCCAAGGAUGUUUUCAUUAAUCAAGAACGAAAGUUAGGGAUCGAAGACGAUCAGAUACCGUCGUAGUCUUAACCAUAAACUAUAGCCGACUAGGAAUCAGACGAUGUUAAUUUUUAAUGUACUCGUUUGGCAC